UUGGCUCAGGAUGAACGCUGGCGGCAUGCCUAAUACAUGCAAGUCGAAUGGUUUAGCUUGCUAGACCAUGGCGAACGGGUGAGUAACACGUAGGUAACCUACCUUAAGGACGAGGAUAACCUUUGGAAACGAAGGAUAAUACUGGAUAGGACAUCACAAAUCACAUGAUUAGAUGUUUAAAGGAGCGAUCCACCAUAAGAGGGGCCUGCGGCGCAUUAGCUAGUUGGUGAGGUAAGGGCCCACCAAGGCGAUGAUGCGUAGCUGGACUGAGAAGUUGAACAGCCACAAUGGGACUGAGAACGGCCCAUACUCCUACGGGAGGCAGCAGUGGGGAAUA
Molecule: ribosomal RNA, 337 nt
Filed under: uncultured rumen bacterium
Lineage: Bacteria
Description: bacterial SSU rRNA
Rfam family: Bacterial small subunit ribosomal RNA
Source: RNAcentral